UCGGUCGAUUUAAUUUAAUGCUAGUGGCGGACGGGUGAGUAACGCGUGGGUAACCUGCCUUAUACAGGGGGAUAACAGUCAGAAAUGGCUGCUAAUACCGCAUAAGCGCACAGAGCUGCAUGGCUCAGUGUGAAAAACUCCGGUGGUAUAAGAUGGACCCGCGUUGGAUUAGCUAGUUGGUGGGGUAACGGCCCACCAAGGCGACGAUCCAUAGCCGGCCUGAGAGGGUGAACGGCCACAUUGGGACUGAGACACGGCCCAGACUCCUACGGGAGGCAGCGGUGGGGAAUAUUGCACAAUGGGGGAAACCCUGAUGCAGCGACGCCGCGUGAAGGAAGAAGUAUCUCGGUAUGUAAACUUCUAUCAGCAGGGAAGAUAGUGACGGUACCUGACUAAGAAGCCCCGGCUAACUACGUG
This 417-nucleotide ribosomal RNA is filed under the name uncultured Lachnospiraceae bacterium. Its description in RNAcentral is "bacterial SSU rRNA". It matches the Rfam family "Bacterial small subunit ribosomal RNA", at positions 62 to 507 of the family's 1533-position model. Lineage: Bacteria; Bacillati; Bacillota; Clostridia; Lachnospirales; Lachnospiraceae. The record is from RNAcentral.